AUUGAACGCUGGCGGCAGGCCUAACACAUGCAAGUCGAGCGGAUGAAGGGAGCUUGCUCCUGGAUUCAGCGGCGGACGGGUGAGUAAUGCCUAGGAAUCUGCCUGGUAGUGUGGGAUAACGUCCUGAAACGGGCGCUAAUACCGCAUACGUCCUGAGGGAGAAAGUGGGGGAUCUUCGGACCUCACGCUAUCAGAUGAGCCUAGGUCGGAUUAUCUAGUUGGUGGGGUAAAGGCCUACCAAGGCGACGAUCCGUAACUGGUCUGAUAGGAUGAUCAGUCACACUGGAACUGAGACACGGUCCAGAAUCCUACGGGAGGCAGCAGUGGGGAAUAUUGGACAAUGGGCGAAAGCCUGAUCCAGCCAUGCCGCGUGUGUGAAGAAGGUCUUCGGAUUGUAAAGCACUUUAAGUUGGGAGGAAGGGCAGUAAGUUAAUACCUUGCUGUUUUGACGUUACCAACAGAAUAAGCACCGGCUAACUUCGUG
This 484-nucleotide ribosomal RNA is filed under the name uncultured bacterium. Its description in RNAcentral is "partial 16S ribosomal RNA". It matches the Rfam family "Bacterial small subunit ribosomal RNA", at positions 30 to 507 of the family's 1533-position model. The record is from RNAcentral.